UACGGAGGGUGCAAGCAUUAAUCGGAUUUAUUGGGCGUAAAGGGCGCGUAGGCGGCAAGGUAAGUCAGCUGUGAAAGGUUGGGGCUCACCCCCAAGACAGCAGUUGAAACUGCCUUACUAGAGGGUAGGCGGAGAAAACGGAAUUCCACAAGUAGCGGUGAAAUGCGUAGAUAUGUGGAAGAACACCGGUGGCGAAAGCGGUUUUCUAGCUUAUACCUGACGCUGAGGCGCGAAAGCGAGGGGAGCAAACAGG
RNAcentral lists this ribosomal RNA (253 nucleotides) under uncultured bacterium. RNAcentral describes it as "partial 16S ribosomal RNA". It matches the Rfam family "Bacterial small subunit ribosomal RNA", at positions 524 to 776 of the family's 1533-position model. The record is from RNAcentral.